UCAUCUCCAUUCUCUCCUCUUCUCCUCCUUCCCCUCGUCAUCUUGGCCACUGUUGCCAUUGGGAGCAGCAGUGAUGAACCCAAAGAGAAGAUGACCCACCUCCACUUCUACUUUUACGACUACUACGGUGGCCCGAACGCGACCACCAUCACCGUCGUCAGCCCUCCCGGCAACUCCUCCUUCGGGAGCAUCGGUGUGGGCGACAACAUUCUGAGGGAAGGGCCCGAGUCGAGCUCCAAGCUCAUC
RNAcentral lists this long non-coding RNA (246 nucleotides) under Musa acuminata (dwarf banana). RNAcentral describes it as "long non-coding RNA (MACU_LNC011399)". The record is from RNAcentral. Lineage: Eukaryota; Viridiplantae; Streptophyta; Magnoliopsida; Zingiberales; Musaceae.